RNAcentral lists this long non-coding RNA (294 nucleotides) under Lathyrus oleraceus (garden pea). Its description in RNAcentral is "Pisum sativum (pea) long non-coding RNA (PSAT_LNC029029)". The record is from RNAcentral. Lineage: Eukaryota; Viridiplantae; Streptophyta; Magnoliopsida; Fabales; Fabaceae.
UUCAUUUCCAAAAGAAUAUCCAUUUUACAUUACACAAGAUUCACGUUACAAAGUCCAUAAAGAAGUACAUUGACCUACAAUUGACUUUGGUCAUCCAUUGAUCUUUUGAUCAAACAGUUGACCAAAGUCAACUAUCUAGUUCUAAUCCCUAAACCAUAUGCCUUUCUUCUUCUUCACAUUGAUUUCCAUGUCACCAAGUAUUGCUCAUGUUCAAGUCUUUGCCCAUGCCUUCAUGAUCCAAAUGCCAAGUCAUCUCAUACAUACACCUUUCCUGCAAAUCACACAAAUGCACCA